RNAcentral lists this ribosomal RNA (399 nucleotides) under Triticum aestivum (bread wheat). RNAcentral describes it as "partial small subunit ribosomal RNA". The record is from RNAcentral. Lineage: Eukaryota; Viridiplantae; Streptophyta; Magnoliopsida; Poales; Poaceae.
AUGAAGGUUCAAGACCCCGACAAUUCAUCUCAGACGGUUUAUGAUUCAUGGGUCAAAUCCAAUGCUUCUCCCAACAUUCAACGACUGGGCAAUGGAGGAUCAGACUAUGCAGCAUUCGUUCAACAUGUUGGCAUUCCAUCAACCAACUUGAUAUUUGGAGAAGGGCCAGGAUAUCCUGUUUACCACUCUUUAUACGAUGAUUUUGUAUGGAUGGAGAAGUUUGCAGACCCUAGGUUCUGUUGGCAUGUCGCAGCAUCAACGACAACAGCGUGGCGCUCCUGGUGCUCCUCUCCCUCUCCUGCCUUGCAUGCUACAAUGCCACCGCCUCCUUCCUGUACAAAAGGUUUGAGUGAGGAAAAAUUCCAGCUCAUGAACGAACAUGAAGAAGUUCUAAUGUGA